RNAcentral lists this ribosomal RNA (254 nucleotides) under uncultured bacterium. Its description in RNAcentral is "partial 16S ribosomal RNA". It matches the Rfam family "Bacterial small subunit ribosomal RNA", at positions 524 to 776 of the family's 1533-position model. The record is from RNAcentral.
UACGGAGGGGGCUAGCGUUGUUCGGAAUUACUGGGCGUAAAGCGCACGUAGGCGGAUCUUUAAGUCAGGGGGUGAAAUCCCAAGGCUCAACCUUGGAACUGCCUUUGAUACUGGGGAUCUCGAGUCCGGAAGAGGUUGGUGGAACUGCGAGUGUAGAGGUGAAAUUCGUAGAUAUUCGCAAGAACACCAGUGGCGAAGGCGGCCAACUGGUCCGGUACUGACGCUGAGGUGCGAAAGCGUGGGGAGCAAACAGG